RNAcentral lists this ribosomal RNA (812 nucleotides) under uncultured bacterium. RNAcentral's name for it is "bacterial SSU rRNA". It matches the Rfam family "Bacterial small subunit ribosomal RNA", at positions 8 to 796 of the family's 1533-position model. The record is from RNAcentral.
AGAGUUUGAUCAUGGCUCAGAGCGAACGCUGGCGGCGUACUUAACACAUGCAAGUCGAACGAGGAUCAUCGGGUUAGCAAUAAUUCGGUGGUCCUAGUGGCGUACGGGUGAGUAACACGUGGGUAACCUGCCCUCGAGUCCGGGAUACCCUCUCGAAAGGGAGGCUAAUACUGGAUACGUUCCCUGGGGCGCAAGACCUGGGGAGGAAAGGUAGCGAAAGCUGCCGCUUUUGGAGGGGCUCGCGGCCUAUCAGCUAGUUGGUGAGGUAACGGCUCACCAAGGCUAUGACGGGUAGCUGGUCUGAGAGGACGACCAGCCACACGGGAACUGAGACACGGUCCCGACUCCUACGGGAGGCAGCAGUGGGGAAUUUUCCGCAAUGGGCGAAAGCCUGACGGAGUGACGCCGCGUGGGGGACGAAGGCCUUCGGGUCGUAAACCCCUGUCAGAGGGAAAGAAGGGUGCUGGCGUGAAUAGCGCCGGCAUCUGACGGUACCUUCAGAGGAAGCCCCGGCCAACUCUGUGCCAGCAGCCGCGGUAAGACAGAGGGGGCAAGCGUUGCUCGGAAUCACUGGGCGUAAAGGGCGCGUAGGCGGGAUGGCAAGUCGGUCGUGAAAUCCUUCGGCUCAACCGAAGAACGUCGGCCGAUACUGCCGUUCUUGAGGGAUGCAGAGGAGAUUGGAAUUCCCGGUGUAGCGGUGAAAUGUGUAGAGAUCGGGAGGAACACCGGUGGCGAAGGCGGGUCUCUGGGCAUCUCCUGCGCUGAGGCGCGAAAGCGUGGGGAGCAAACGGGAUUAGAUACCCNNGUAGUCC